RNAcentral lists this long non-coding RNA (1249 nucleotides) under Pongo abelii (Sumatran orangutan). Its description in RNAcentral is "lncRNA (ENSPPYG00000032904.1)". The record is from RNAcentral. Lineage: Eukaryota; Metazoa; Chordata; Mammalia; Primates; Hominidae.
UUUUUUUGCUGGGUGGGAGACUGAGUCUCGCUCUGUCACCUAGGCUGGAGUGCAGUGGCCUGAUCUCGGCUUAGUGCAACCUCUGCCUCCAGGGUUCCGACAAUUCUGCCUCAGUCUCCUGAGUAGCUGGGAUUACAGGUGUGUGCCACCACACCUGGUUAAUUUUUGUAUUUUUAGUAGAGACCAGGUUUCAUCAUGUAGGGCAGGAUGGUCUUGAACCCCUGACCUCAGGUGAUCUGCCCACCUCGGCCUCCCAAAGUGCUGGGAUUACAAGUGUGAGUCAUCGCUCCCGGCCUGCAAACUUUGUUGUAGGUAUUUCUGGUAAACAAAUCCUUAGGUUAUCUUUGCUGUGGUUUUGGUUUGGCUUUAGUCAUGAUUUAAAGGUAGAAAUAGCUAGGCAUUAUUUUUUGAAAUAUAUGACCUAGAUGUAGUCAAGAAUCCACUUGUCAACACAGGGAAGCAAACCUUUUGGAAAAUGGCAUUUGGGCAGACAGUAAACAUUCAGAAAAGAGGUAUGAUCGCUUGAUGCUGGAAGCAUGAACAGCUUCAUCAGGUACUCAACUCUGAUGAGUUUGUCCUUUCAGCCUAAGGGCGGGGAAGGGGGUUGUUUUAAAAUAGCAAAUACGCAUGUUGAUUGCCAGUGUGUGGAGAAAAAGGCGGUUCCCACCACAGUUAGGUCCUGGCCAUUGUUUCCGCGCCUGCAAUGCUCCUUGUAGGUCCUCACCCUCCUCUGCCUUCUGCUGGGUCAAAGGUGGCCUUUUUCUCUCCAGCCUUGAAUUGUUCCCUGGUGGCUUCCCAAGGGCCCAUCUGCUGGUACAGUCCACACUUCCAAAGCCAAGACCCGAGAGGGCUCUUUCACUGCCCCAAGCCUCUCUCCCACGCUGUCGUCGCCUUGGCAUGGGUGGCAUUGCUGUGACCCCGUGUGCUGGCACUCUGGCAGGCUCUGGCCGGCAGUGAGCGGGGGGAUUGCAUUCUGCUAUUCAGGGGUGAGCUUUGGAUUCUGUCUUGGCAGAAUCCUUUGUCAGCGGCUCUUGCUCUGUCCUUCCUGUUUGGCCACAGCUCUUUCAAUCAAUCAAUGGGUAUUCUAGAACUGCAGGAUGUCAGAGCUGGAAGGGACGCAAUACCAGUUUACAGAAGGGGAAACUCCUGGAGGCUCUUGCAGGGACGGAGGUUUUUGGUGACAGAGCGAGAGCUAGAGUUGAGGAUCCCAUCAGCCAUCUUUCUCCCAAUAAAGUUUUGUUUUCUGCAA